This 924-nucleotide ribosomal RNA is filed under the name uncultured archaeon. RNAcentral's name for it is "bacterial SSU rRNA". It matches the Rfam family "Archaeal small subunit ribosomal RNA", at positions 1 to 931 of the family's 1478-position model. The record is from RNAcentral.
UUCCGGUUGAUCCCGCCGGACCUGACUGCUAUCGGAUUGAUACUAAGCCAUGCGAGUCAUUGUAGUAAUACAAGGCAGACGGCUCAGUAACGCGUAGUCAACCUAACCUAUGGACGGGGAUAACCUCGGGAAACUGAGAAUAAUACCCGAUAGAACAUUAUGCCUGGAAUGGUUUAUGUUUCAAAUAAUUUAUUGCCGUAGGAUGGGACUGCGGCCUAUCAGUUUGUUGGUGAGGUAAUGGCCCACCAAGACUAUUACAGGUACGGGCUCUGAGAGGAGUAGCCCGGAGAUGGGUACUGAGACACGGACCCAGGCCCUAUGGGGCGCAGCAGGCGAGAAAACUUUGCAAUGUGCGAAAGCACGACAAGGUUAAUCCGAGUGGUUUCUGCUAAAGGAACCUUUUGCCAGUCCUAGAAACACUGGUGAAUAAGGGGGUGGGCAAGUUCUGGUGUCAGCCGCCCGCGGUAAAACCAGCACCUCAAGUGGUCAGGAUGAUUAUUGGGCCUAAAGCAUCCGUAGCCUGCUUUGUCAGUUUUCGGUUAAUCCAUUCGCUCAACGAAUGGGCUGCCGGGAAUACUGCAAAGCUAGGGAGUGGGAGAGGUAGACGGUACUCGGUAGGAAGGGGUAAAAUCCUUUGAUCUAUUGAUGACCACCUGUGGCGAAGGCGGUCUACCAGAACACGUCCGACGGUGAGGGAUGAAAGCUGGGGGAGCAAACCGGAUUAGAUACCCGGGUAGUCCCAGCUGUAAACUAUGCAAACUCAGUGAUGCAUUGGCUUGAUGCCAAUGCAGUGCUGCAGGGAAGCCGUUAAGUUUGCCGCCUGGGAAGUACGUACGCAAGUAUGAAACUUAAAGGAAUUGGCGGGGGAGCACCACAAGGGGUGAAGCCUGCGGUUCAAUUGGAGUCAACGCCGGAAAUCCCGCG